GUCACUUGAAUCUGCUGAGCGUUAAAAUUAACAUACUUUUGAAGCUUAUGUAUAUAGAAAUUUUUUGACAAAGUGUACUUUAUUAUUCUAUCUCCUUUUAUGAAUCUUUGCUUAAGUUGUGCUAUGCAUGUUGCAUUAUUAUGGGUACUUUGUCACACUUCAUGUAGACACCUAAAUUUAAUCUCUCCCGAAGACUCAAUCUAUCCAUUUGUUUACCUUCAUCUUACCACGUAUCCUACCCCAUAUAAUUAUCCCUCCACAAAAUGACAAAAUAAUAAAUCCAACAACCCUUCACAAAUUUUAUCUUCUUUAAUAACCAAUUAACAACCCUAUCCAAUAAGAAAACCACCUAACACCCUACUACCCCACCUCCUACAGGACCCCCUCCCCUUUCUUUUCCCAAAAUCAAAUGAAUAAGUAUACACAUAGUGAAUCUUCCAAGAAAUUUCCAGAUGCACACCUUACUUGGACCCCACCAUUUUUGUUGUCAUUUUGUCAUACGCACAUAGACACCUUACUGUAUAUAAAUAGAAAUAAGGACAACAACAAUGAGAGAUUUUCUUUUGGAUCAUCAUCCUUUUGAGCAAAGAAAGGAUGCCAUUUUCUCUUCUUCUUGGAUAAAAUAGCGUGAUUUUUUUUCUGGACAGCAUAUAAAAAAUGGCACGCACACAUACACACAUAGAAUAAAGGGAGAUUAAGAGAGACAGAAAUCGAGAGAAGGAGGGAGAGAGAAUCGAAAAAAAAGGGGGAGGGUUACAGCUCCGGCGAGUUUCGCCUGAGAGCCGUCGGAGUUCGAUCCCGUUCGUUGGAUAUUGUUGCUGCCUGAGUUCUCCGGAUCGCCAUUGACACUACAAUAACAAAUCCGCUCCAAUCUGAACAAACCCAAAUGGAGCAGUAAUUGGGUGCACGAAUUGGUACGGGUCUCUCGUUGUUUCUAGAUUUUUGUUUUAGGUUGACGAAAACAGAGUGCGGGGUGAGAUUCGGGAAUCUGAUUUUGAUAUUCGAGGUCGAGAUCUGAUUUGGAGUUCGUGUUGAGGUUCCGAUGCGGAUUUCAUUUCGUUUAAUUGAAUAACAUUUGAAAGCGGCAUUGAGGUUCAAUUCUUUCUUCUCUUCCUCUUAAUUCUUAUGUGAUUAUGAACUUGAUUUGAUUGCGUGAAUCAUUGGUGAUUAUGAUUGUUGGAUUUUGUUGAUGUUGUGAUCAUGUGCUUGACAAUGUAAUUUCGGCGAUAUGUGGUGCGAAUUUGAGUAUUGUUGAUGGUGUGAUUGAUAAAAAUGAAGCUAGAUGGGGUGAAAUUAACAAAUUGACAAAAUGGGUGAAUAUAGAUCAAUUUUGAUUUAUUGCCAUUUGGUUUAAUUCAGAAUAAGCAUGAAUGUGGUUGAAUCCGAUAGUGCCAUGUUGUAGGUCGAGAAGGAAUAGGCAAGCUGUUGUAGGUCGAGAAGGAAUAGGCAAGCCGUAGGUCGGGUAGGCAAAUCUAGAGAUUGUGGAUUGAUUGAAUGUUUGAGAUGUGUAUUGAGAUGAUUUUGUUUUAUCUUUAUUUGACUCAAUUGUACUCAUUUGGCCAGAGAAUGCCUCGAAGUAUCUGUAUUGUUUUAUUCGGGGAAUGCCUCGAGAAAGUUGUACUUGAAGAUGGUGCACGGUCAAGGUCCGAGGCGUCGGGUAAAGCAACGGAGUUUAGCCUAGGACUAGUUUAGAAUACGAUUUUUAUUUUUGCGUUUUCCUAUUUUGGUUUGUAAUAAUCGGAUUGGACAUUUUGAUUUUGGAUUUGUUUUUUGUUGUUGAUUUGAUUGAUUGUUUUGUGUGUUUUAUGUGGCUUAUACAUUUGUAGUGUUAAAAUUAGCUGAUACUCUCCGCCAAGCGAUCGUGGUCAAACCACGGGAUCGAGGGGUGCCUAACACUUUCUCCUCGGUCAACAGAAUUCCUUAGCCGAAAUCUCUGUU
Molecule: long non-coding RNA, 1938 nt
Filed under: Capsicum annuum
Lineage: Eukaryota; Viridiplantae; Streptophyta; Magnoliopsida; Solanales; Solanaceae
Description: long non-coding RNA (CANN_LNC009126)
Source: RNAcentral